Molecule: ribosomal RNA, 252 nt
Filed under: uncultured bacterium
Lineage: Bacteria
Description: partial 16S ribosomal RNA
Rfam family: Bacterial small subunit ribosomal RNA
Source: RNAcentral
UACGGGGGGGCAAGCGUUGUUCGGAAUUACUGGGCGUAAAGGGCUCGUAGGUGGCCAACUAAGUCAGACGUGAAAUCCCUCGGCUUAACCGGGGAACUGCGUCUGAUACUGGAUGGCUUGAGUUUGGGAGAGGGACGCGGAAUUCCAGGUGUAGCGGUGAAAUGCGUAGAUAUCUGGAAGAACACCCGUGGCGAAGGCGGUUCUCUGGGACGGUACUGACGCUGAGACGCGAAAGCGUGGGGAGCGAACAGG